UACGUAGGUGGCAAGCGUUGUCCGGAUUUACUGGGCGUAAAGGGAGCGUAGGUGGAUAUUUAAGUGGGAUGUGAAAUACUCGGGCUUAACCUGGGUGCUGCAUUCCAAACUGAAUAUCUAGAGUGCAGGAGAGGAAAGUAGAAUUCCUAGUGUAGCGGUGAAAUGCGUAGAGAUUAGGAAGAAUACCAGUGGCGAAGGCGACUUUCGGGACUGUAACUGACACUGAGGCUCGAAAGCGUGGGGAGCAAACAGG
RNAcentral lists this ribosomal RNA (253 nucleotides) under uncultured bacterium. RNAcentral's name for it is "partial 16S ribosomal RNA". It matches the Rfam family "Bacterial small subunit ribosomal RNA", at positions 524 to 776 of the family's 1533-position model. The record is from RNAcentral.